This 28-nucleotide small RNA is filed under the name Bombyx mori (domestic silkworm). RNAcentral's name for it is "ovarian small RNA-37726". The record is from RNAcentral. Lineage: Eukaryota; Metazoa; Arthropoda; Insecta; Lepidoptera; Bombycidae.
UUGAUACAUGAUUCAGAGGUCUUCCGUC